AUUAAAAAUAAAAAGUUUAUAAAGAAAAAAUGUUAUAGUAAACUAAGAUUAAUUUAUUAUUGAAGAAAGAAAAAUUUCUAAAUAAAUUUAAUGUUGACUCCAUGUACAGUAUUUAUAAAGUAGACAGUAAUGCCUGGGCCUUCAUAUUUACUCACCACUCAUUCAAUGUCUCACCCACAGCAACCUCCAGUCCUGCAAGCUUCAUUCCUGGUAAGUAUCCUAUACAGGUGUAUCGUAUUUUUUAUACCAUAUUUUUACUGUACCUUUUCUAGAUUUAGAUAUUUUUAGAUGUACAAAUACUCACAAUUGUAUUAUAAUUGCCUACAGUAUUUAAUACUGUAGUCUGCUGUACAAAUUUGUAGCUUAGGAGCAAUAGGCUAUGCUGUAUAGCUUAGGUGUGUAAUAGGCUCUCCUAUCUAGUUUGUGUAAUUUUACUCUACAGUGACAAAAUCGCCAAAGAAGACAUCUAUCAGAACAUAUUCCCGUCAUUAAGCAACACAUGGCUAUAUUAUGAUUUUUUGUUAUAGAAUUCUCAAAUAUAUUAUUGUACCAUGAUUUCUUCCUAAAAUAUGAAAUGAUAUUUAAUGUCUUCCCUCAAUAAAAGACAAAGAACUAUACUGAGAAACCAUCUUCUUCCACCUUCCCUUCACAAAUUUUAUGACUCUAUGGCACAAAGAGGCACUACAGAAAAUCCCAGAAUUUAUUCCGACUGAAGCAAUAUGCAACUGGCAAAACUGGCAGCUGAAAGGAUCCUGAAUCAGAAGGAUUUUAAAUGCCGUUUUGGCACAGGAUGUCAGAGCACAAGCAUGGUGAAGAGGAAUCUGUGUCAGGAAGAAGGUGGAAGAGAUACGACAUUGGUCAAACAGAGAAUUGAUAAAAUAAGAAAACAAGUUGAAAAAAUAAAACAAAACCAGGUGCCAAAUUUCUCAAAGCCAGAGAAUGGAUUAAAAAUAUGGAAUGGAAAUAAACAAGUAUGAAGCCUGAUGAUUAAACUGGAUGUAUCAGUAAUGAAAUCAUGGAAUCUAAAAAAAAUCAAUAUAAAUGUGUAUGUAUGCAUAUAUGGAGAGAGAGAGACAGAGAAACAGACAGACAGAGGGAGAGGCCAAGCAACUGGUACAAGUGAUACCCUAAUCGCAAUGAGGACACUGAACCCCCAGAUCUUGGUUCUCAAUAACAUGCUCCAUUGAAAAGCAUGAGGCCUGAUUCUGGAGCUGGUGCAGAAAAAUUACAAGAUGAUCCUGGAAUAUAUAUUGUUAAAAAUUAAGACAAUGUUGAAAGGAUAAUAAGGUCAUCCUGAAAGAUUAAAUUGUUGUCAGUUUGAGAUUUUAAAUAAUUAAUGGCAAAAUGGAUUACUACUCAUUGAAUCAAAGAGAAAAACGUGAGCCCAUAUUGUUAUAAAUAAGUAAAUGCAUAUAUUGAAAGCUUAAUUAGAAACAUAGUUUCAAAAUAAACUCCCCUAAAAUACCUAAGAAUGGUAAAUUUGUAGAGUGUUUCUUUCUUUAUAGUAGAGGAGCCAAGCAUGCUUUACCUUAAUCAAGUGAUCAGUGUGAAUAUCAUCAGGACAAAUCAAAAACAUGCAUCACCUGAGAGCUUGUAAAGAGAGCACAGCAUCUCUUUGUGAUAUUUUCACUAAACGUGCAUACCUUGCGUCUAACCAUGAGAAAGGAGCAGACAAAUACAAAUUGAG
Long non-coding RNA from Pan paniscus (pygmy chimpanzee), 1687 nucleotides. The record is from Ensembl. NCBI's taxonomy places the organism in Eukaryota, Metazoa, Chordata, Mammalia, Primates, Hominidae.